GGAAUAUUGGACAAUGGGGGCAACCCUGAUCCAGCGAUGCCGCGUGUGUGAAGACGGCCUGCUGGUUGUAAAGCACUUUUGUUGGGGAAGAGCGGAUGUAGGUUAAGAGCUAAUGUCUGAGACGUUACCCACAGAAAAAGCACCGGCUAACUCUGUGCCAGCAGCCGCGGUAAGACCGAGGGUGCAAGCGUUAAUCGGACUUACUGGGCGUAAAGGGUGCGUAGGUGGUUGAUUAAGAGAGAUGUGAAAGACCCAUGCUUAACAUGGGGGAGUCAUUUUUAACUGAUUGACUAGAGUUCACUAGAGGGAAGGGGAAUUUCCGGAGUAGCGGUGAAAUGCGUAGAUAUCGGAAAGAACACCGGUGGCGAAGGCGCCUUUCUGGAGUGAAACUGACACUGAGGCACGAAAGCGUGGGUAGCGAAC
This 423-nucleotide ribosomal RNA is filed under the name uncultured bacterium. Its description in RNAcentral is "bacterial SSU rRNA". It matches the Rfam family "Bacterial small subunit ribosomal RNA", at positions 358 to 773 of the family's 1533-position model. The record is from RNAcentral.